GCCCGCCUAGCUCAAUCGGAUAGAGCGUCAGACUCUUAUGGCGAGUGCAUAGUCAUCUCAUGAGUUUAAUCUGAAGGCUGCGAGUUCGACCCUCGCGGUGGGCU
Non-coding RNA from Russula compacta, 104 nucleotides. The record is from the annotation of a GenBank genome assembly. Lineage: Eukaryota; Fungi; Basidiomycota; Agaricomycetes; Russulales; Russulaceae.